Molecule: ribosomal RNA, 267 nt
Filed under: uncultured bacterium
Lineage: Bacteria
Description: partial 16S ribosomal RNA
Rfam family: Bacterial small subunit ribosomal RNA
Source: RNAcentral
UGGCGACCGGCGCACGGGUGAGUAACGCGUAUCCAACCUGCCCUUUACUAUGGGACAGCCCGUCGAAAGGCGGAUUAAUACCGUAUGUUGUCAUGUUGAUGCAUAUUUUCAUGACCAAAGGCUUCGGCCGGUAAAGGAUGGGGAUGCGUCUGAUUAGCUUGCCGGCGGGGUAACGGCCCACCGGGGCGACGAUCAGUAGGGGUUCUGAGAGGAAGGUCCCCCACAUUGGGACUGAGACACGGCCCAAACUCCUACGGGAGGCAGCAG